Molecule: long non-coding RNA, 1284 nt
Filed under: Homo sapiens (human)
Lineage: Eukaryota; Metazoa; Chordata; Mammalia; Primates; Hominidae
Description: HSALNT0097415
Source: RNAcentral
GCCUUGCUUUCCGAGGGCGGCGUGCAGCCACAGUGCCCGCUGCGGGUGCUGGGGAAUGGCGCCUUACAGGCUGCCCACCUGCCUCCUCAGGGUGGAAGGCGGGGCUUGGGUGUGAGCGUGCUGAAUCAGAACUUUCCUGGAAAGUCGCCACUUGGUGUGGUCAGAGGAUCACUGAAGUAAGCGCUACACACAAAUCACCCCCAAAGUCGUGUUUUAAAUGCACCUGUAUUUGCUUAAACGAAAAUGUCAGAAGUAUUUGUCCUACAAGCAGUCUGAGUGGUUUGUCCCGCAGCUGGUCUGGUGACGCUGGCCCUCGCGGAUGUCUGCGUGUCGCUCACAUGUGAAUGAGUGAGCAACUGCACAGAGCCUGUGCUUAAGAUGGCAGGAUCGCAAGACAGAGCAACUGGAGCAAGUCCUCAUUAAGAAGAGCCGCCCGAUGCAUUUGGACUGCGAUGUGUUACGCCCAUGAGAUUUCAGGGUUAAUUUGUUACCUGGCCGUGGCCUAUCCUCUUCCAGCAGAUACAGAGGCUACUGCAGUUUGCAACUUUGCAGAUACCAGCAGAGGAAGAAAAACCUGGGAGACUGCUGCUAACCUAAUGUGGAGACUUGACUUAAACUUCAGCCAGACAAAGGCGGAAUCUUAAUAUGGAGGGGCCUGGCUCUGCAGGGAGGUCACCUGGGCUGGCUGGAUUUCAAUCCAGUUACACAGCAAAAAAGUUACAACCCAAGCUUUGGCGAUGCUGAGCCUUCUACUCUCAGGGAUUCCAAAGCAUUUGAUAAACUCUUUCUUUGUUCCAUUGUUUACUGACUUCCUAGUGCUUGUCUUGUUCUGCAGUUAUUUAUUUAUUUUUAUUUAUUAGUUUUUACUUAUGAUCUACCCCUCUCUCCCAUCUCCCCGCAACCUGAAGGUAAGGUGCAGGAAGUUAUGGCCUUUGCUUUGUAUGCCAUUACAUUCCCCCUCCCCAGGGAAGGGGUUAGCAUGAUGGUAGGAACUGUUCCCUCUUGGUGACAGAUAAGUGACUGGAGCAGAAUCCACUUCUGCUGAGAAGCUCUGGAUGACCACGGAUAAGCAGGAAGGCAUGUGACAUAUUGGCAAGUGAGUCAGACAGAAAGAGAGACGUGGGAUCGAGUCCUGGCAUUGCCCUUUCUAGCUAUUGUGUCCUUGGACAGGUAAUUUAGCUUCCCUGAGUCUGUUUUCUCAUCUGAAAAAUGAAGAUAGUAAUAAUUAUCCUCGUGGGGCUAUUGAAAAAGUUAAAAUAAUACAAGCAAAGCAUUUAACAUAGG